GAUGAAGAACGUAGCGAAAUGCGAUAAGUAAUGUGAAUUGCAGAAUUCAGUGAAUCAUCGAAUCUUUGAACGCACAUUGCGCCCCCUGGUAUUCCGGGGGGCAUGCCUGUCCGAGCGUCAUUACAACCCUCAAGCUCAGCUUGGUGUUGGGCUCGGCCGCCCCGGCGGGCCCUAAAGUCAGUGGCGGUGCCGUCCGGCUCCGAGCGUAGUAAUUCUUCUCGCUCUGGAGGUCCGGUCGUGUGCUCGCCAGCAACCCCCAAUUUUUUUCAGGUUGACCUCGGAUCAGGUAGGGAUACCCGCUGAACUUAAGCAUAUCAAUAAGCGGAGGA
Molecule: unclassified non-coding RNA, 329 nt
Filed under: soil metagenome
Description: partial contains 5.8S ribosomal RNA, internal transcribed spacer 2, and large subunit ribosomal RNA
Rfam family: 5.8S ribosomal RNA (bases 1-120)
Source: RNAcentral